GGUCACUGAAAACAGGACAGAAGGCUCUGAGCUAUGUGCUCUGCUAAGUGGAACUAUUUUGUUUACAUGCACCAACGCCCCAUUUGCAGAGAACCACGACGUAAUCAGUGCAAGAUACACAAACAGAUCAUUUAUAGGAGUGGGGUGUGAGUAAUUUUGCAACCCUGCCGUAUAUACACACAGUCAGAUUGACUGUAGAUUCUAUCCCUAUUAUUUAAUAAAGGGAAGCAGUUAUUACACUAAUUUGUAUCUUGUGGCUACUCAGUGCAACCCUGGACUGACUGUAUUCCUAAGAAAA
This 298-nucleotide long non-coding RNA is filed under the name Homo sapiens (human). RNAcentral describes it as "HSALNT0127512". The record is from RNAcentral. Lineage: Eukaryota; Metazoa; Chordata; Mammalia; Primates; Hominidae.